UACGAAGGGGGCUAGCGUUGCUCGGAAUUACUGGGCGUAAAGGGCGCGUAGGCGGAUAGUUUAGUCAGAGGUGAAAGCCCAGGGCUCAACCCUGGAAUUGCCUUUGAUACUGGCUAUCUUGAGUUCGGGAGAGGUGAGUGGAACUCCGAGUGUAGAGGUGAAAUUCGUAGAUAUUCGGAGGAACACCAGUGGCGAAGGCGGCUCACUGGACCGGAACUGACGCUGAGGCGCGAAAGCUAGGGGAGCAAACAGG
RNAcentral lists this ribosomal RNA (253 nucleotides) under uncultured bacterium. Its description in RNAcentral is "partial 16S ribosomal RNA". It matches the Rfam family "Bacterial small subunit ribosomal RNA", at positions 524 to 776 of the family's 1533-position model. The record is from RNAcentral.